CUUCAGAACAGAUGAACAAUCAAACCCUCUUCAUAGGGAACUCUGGAAACUGUAACUCUGGGAAGGGAACAGGAGUCUCUCAACACCUUGAACCAACCGCAGCCCCUCCAAAUUCCCUGCCACAUCCCAAUGGCAACUAUGUGUCAUGUCCAGUUUCCCCUCUAUAAUAUCAGACCCUCCAAGUGCCCCUAUUUAGAGAAACUGUCCCAUUUUCUGAUUUGAUCCUGGAAAGUCCCACUUCUCCUUAAAAGGUAAAGGGACCCCUGACCAUUAGGUCCAGUUGCGAAUGACUCUGGGGUUGCAGCGCUCAUCUUGCUUUAUUGACCAAGGGAGCCGGCUUACAGCUUCUGGGUCAUGUGGCCAGCAUGACUAAGCCACUUCUGGCGAACCAGAGCAGCACACGGAAACGCCGUUUACCUUCCCGCUGGAGUGGUACCUAUUUAUCUACUUGCACUUUGAUGUGCUUUUGAACUGCUAGGUUGGCAGGAGCAGGGACUGAGCAACAGGAGCUCACCCUGUCGCAGGGAUUCGAACCACCAACCUUCUGAUCAGCAAGUCCUAGGCUCUGUGGUUUAGACCACAGUGCAACCUGCCUCUUUUCCUUAGGGUGUCCCUAUUUCCCUUGGAGAAAUGUUGGAGGGUUUGGUGGGAUGUCCCUAUUUUUUACUGGAGAAAUGUUGGAGGGUAUGGCAUUAUCUGACCCCCGAGCUGUCUGAAGGCAAUCCUUUAUAAGGAAGGGUUUUUCUUUUAAAAAAAUGUUUAAUAUUUAAUGAUGUUUUUAUAUAUGUUAGAAGUUGCCCAGAGAGGCUGAGACAACUCAGUAAGAUGUGUGAGGUAUAAAUAGUAAAAUUAUCAUUAUGGACUGGGACAUCCCUAUUUUUAUUGGACAAAUGUUGGAAGGUAUGUCAUAUCUAUUGUGACUUCCCUGCUCCUUGAUGUUCCGCACUUCCAUACUAUCCACCAUCAGAAGUCAAUAGCUUGGAAAGGAUGCCCUGAUGUCAGGACACCUGACUGGAAGGAGAUGGAGAUAUUAGACACACACAACUGCUGUUUUCAAUGAAAGCACACUUCUAAUAAAACCCAGGUAUUCUAAAUCUAGAUACACUUUAGGUAAAUGAGUGGGAUCGCAGGGGCAAGCAUUCAUCUAUGCCCUCCAUGCAUUCAUCAUGCCUCAUGUGCAGAGAGUAUGCUCUUCUAUCUUUGGCGAUCACUCGUAGCCGAGUAAGAUUGUCUUCCAUAAACAUGGUUUUAACAAUGAGUCCGUAAGUGACUGUGGACUGGAUCCACACGUCCUUCCACAGAGGGGACAUUGGUUUCGGGCGGGAGUUGAUCACGGUGUGGAUUUGCCAAGCGUGUCUUCCUCUUAGCAUGUUUCUCCCUUGCGUCCUGAGUUUGAGUGUCUUCAAAGCGCAUGACGCCUUUGGUAAAGGUGUUCUCCAGUUGGAGUGCCCACGGGCAAGUGUUUCCCAAUUGUUGGUGUUUAUACUGCAUUUUUAAGAUUUGCCUUGAGAGUGUCUUUAAACCUCUUUUGUUGACCACCAGCAUGACGCUUUCAAUUUUUAAGUUUGGAGUAGAGUAGUUGCUUUGGAAGACGAUAAUCAGGCAUCUGCACAACAUGAUCAGUCCAGCGAAGUUGAUGUUGAAGAAUCAUUGCUUCAACACUGGUGAUCUUUGCUUCUUCCAGUACACUGGUCUUAGUUCGCCUGUCUUCCCAAGUGAUGUGUAAAAAUUUUCGGAGACACCGUCGAUGAAAUCUUUCAAGGAGUUGGAGAUGGCUUUUAUAAGUGGUCCAUGUUUCACAAGCAUACAGUAAGAUUGGUAGUACAAUAGCUUUGUAAACAAGCAUUUUGGUUUCCCUGCGAAUGUCCUGGUCCUCAAACACUGCACUUCUAUCAGAAGAAAGCCGCACUCGCAGAGCUCAGGCGAACUCACAUACAUACAGGGUUUUCAUGUGCUCCCUUCCUUGACCACACAGACAGGAGCCACCUGUGUCCCAAUAUGUGCAAGCUUCAUGCACAAGGGGAUGCUGAAUGCUCAUGAGGUCUCAUUUAUUUAUAUUUAUUGCAUUUAUAGCUCACCUUUUUCUCCAAGGAGCUCAAGGUAGUGUACUUAGUUGUUCUCCUCCUCAAUUAACCCCCACAACAACCCUGUGAGAGCCAGUGUGGUGUAGUGGUGAAGAGUGGUAGACUCGUAAUCUGGUGAACCGGGUUCGCGUCUCCGCUCCUCCACAUGCAGCUGCUGAGUGACCUUGGGCUAGUCACACUUCUCUGAAGUCUCUCAGCCUCACUCACCUCACAGAGUGUUUGUUGUGGGGGAGGAAGGGAAAGGAGAAUGUUAGCCGCUUUGAGACUCAGUGAGCUUGACCACUCACAGUCGAGUGGAGAUUUGAACCCUGGUUUCCCAGAUCCUUGUCCAGCACCCUAACCACUACACCACACUGGGUCUCUUUGGGGGUGGGUUGGGGCUGUGAUUCUACUUGCCCCUCUGGGUAUUGAGAUUGCUAGCACAGGGUUCUAGUAAAUAAGCCCCACAAUUUCAGCUACGUGCCUGUCUGUUUUUCCCCGCAAGGCAGAAGUAUACCUUUGUAGUUUUGAAAUGAAACACUUUAAAGGCUGCUCACCCAUCCUUCUUGAAUAUCCAUAACAAUCUGAUACAGACGCCCAAAGAGGACAACUGACACCAUAUAAAGCUAUUGCAGGAGACUGGCAUGGUGGCAGUCUAAUCAGCUGAGCAGGGAUGUAGCCAGUAUACUAAAUGCUUAUGGAACGCAGGUAAUUGAAUACCUUUGGACCCUUUGGCUUAAGAGGAAAUUAAGUCACACUUCUGGUUUGGAGCCACUCAGACUAUGCCAUACAAUUUUAAAGCACCCAGCACAAUAGUUCUCAAUGACUUUCCUUAGAAACCACCCUAGGUCCUAGCUGUAACAUUCUGUAACAAAAUUAAUACAGCAGUUGAGAGGAUCAGGGGCUUACAAUUACAUUGAGAACCAUUAAUCUUCUUGUUAACUUAUUUAAGGGAUAUACCAUUUAACUAUCAUGAAUUAAUUUCAUACAUGGGUUACUGCUGCAUGAGUGUGCUAUGCAAAAAAGAAAGAAAGAAAAAAGAGAGAAUAUUGUUCAUCCCAUUAUGCAAUUGUGUCAAAAUUGACAAGUUAUACCAGAGUGAGAGGAGCGAGGCAAAGAUAUAACAAUUUUGUUCAGAUUGGACUUCCUUUGUUAAUUACUGGCAGUUUCACAGUUCUACAGUUGUGAGACUCAAAGUUUAAUUUACUGUAAAAAUAUUGCUAUAGAUGCAUGUUUAUCUUGUACAAUUUGUGUAUUUUGUUUCUUUUUAUAUUGAAAAAGUUGUCCAUGUUAGUAUGUUGCUGUUGUUUAUAAAAAAGGAACAAUCCUAGGUCCCAGGACUUAAAUCAGAAUAUUAGCCCAGCUCCUUUCCCUUUAGACCUGUAGCUCAGUUCUGGGCACCACAGUUUAAGAAGGAUAUUGACAAGCAGGAAUGUGUGCCGAGGAGGGCAACCAAGAUGAUAAAGGGCUUGGAAACGAAGCCUGAUGAGGAGCGGUUGAGGGAGGUGGGUAUGUUUAACCUGGAGAAGAGAAGAUUGAGAGAUGAGACGAUAGUCAUCUUCAAAUAUCUGAAGGGCUGUCACAUGGAGCAAGCUUGUUUCCUGCUGCUCCAGAGGGUAUAAAUAACGAGAGAGGAGAUUCUGAAUAAAAAUUAGGAAGAUCACCAGAAACAUUUCUGAUUGCAUGGACCAUGUCCCUGGUAAAUUGCUGCCCCUAUUUGUGCCCCAGUGUUUGACUUUAGGGGAUGCUUUGUUAAAACUCUGCUCAUGGGAGAUGCUGGAUUUGCCACUUUUCAAAUUUCAUCGCAUGUGUGUUAGUGCACAAGCAGGAACGAGAAGUAAUAUGCAGACUUACCAUUUCACAUGGUGGCAAGCAGGGGUGUCAACUUGAACAAAAUAUUGGGGGGGGGCAGGUAAGCCCCCCCCCGCACAAUCAGUCACAUGACAUGGUGCACCUACACCAUUAGAAUGGCAUGCCCAUUAACUUGGGCAGGGGUGGCCCUCUCAGAUAUUUUAUUGGGGGAGCUGAAGUCUCCUUGGCUUCUAGAAGUUGGCUCCUAUGUUGGCAAGAGUACACCUUGUACUGUUAAUAACAGUGAGCAGGCCAAUAAUGUUUUCUUAGACUAUAUUAAAUCUAAAGUACAAAUACCUUCUUGGUUUUAAAACAGGUAAAUGAAAUACCAUAACUUGCAACAACGUGUAACAGGGCAGAGGUGUGUGUAUUUGUGUCUGUGGGCCAGACAGUGGUUCUUGGAGUGAACAUAGAGAUGUUACAAGCAGGUCCUUGUUUUCAUUUGGGAAAAGUUGGAAGAUAUGCAAUAUUCUGCCUCUCUGCCCUGAAGCACCUCUUUCACAACAGAGAGUGAAAAGGGAAAGGAGAAUAGUUACGGUAACCAUUCCACAGAUCAAUCUUUGGGGGUUUCUUAUGGAAACUCUUUCCACCAAGCACAUUUCACCCUACUUGAGUAUGCUUCACAUAAGGCUCUUAUAGCACUUUAAUUACACUUGUUCCUUAGGGUUCCUUCUCCCUCUCUCCAUGACAAACAGAAGUGAUGUUUAACUUAUAGUAAGGACAUGGAGUGUGUGGAUCUGGUUCCCUCAGCCUAUUAUACACAUCCAGUGCUCUACCCAAAUCUUCUUCUGGCUCUGCCCAUCACUUGCCUGUGGCCUGCAAAAAGUUCCCUGCAUGGCAGUGUGGCCCUAGAGCUGAAAAAAACUUCCCACUCCCACCCAACACACUUUGUGACCCUAUGCUGAAUGCCUGAACCAGACAGAGGACCUUCUCAGUAGUGGCACCCACCCUGUGGAAUGCCCUCCCACCAGAUGUCAAGGAGAUAAAUAACUACACAACUUUUAGAAGACAUCUGAAGGCAGCCCCAUAUAUGGAAGCUUUUAAUGUUUGAUAUUUUAUUUAUGGUUUUUUUUAUCUGUGGGAAGCUGCCCAGAGUGGCUGGGGCAACCCAUUCUGAUGGGCAUGGUAAUCAUCAUCAUCGUCGUCCUCCUGGGGAGGCUCACUUGGCACCUUCUUUGUUACAUAUCUUUAGGUGUCAGGCAAAAACAUUCCUCUUCUUCCCGGCUAAUUAAACAAUCAAUGGCCUUUUAAACUAUGUGGGUGGUGCUGUGGGUUAAACCACAGAGCCUAGGACUUGCUGAUCAGAAGGUCGGCGGUUCGAAUCCCAGCGACGGGGUGAGCUCCCAUUGCUCGGUCCCUGCUCCUGCCAACCUAGCAGUUCGAAAGCACGUCAAAGUGCAAGUAGAUAAAUAGGUACCGCUCCGGCGGGAAGGUAAAACGCGGUUCCGUGCGCUGCUCUGGUUCACCAGAAGCGGCUUAGUCAUGCUGGCCACAUGACCCGGAAGCUGUACGCUGGCUCCCUCGGCCAAUAAAACGAGAUGAGUGCCGCAACCCCAGAGUCGGUCACGACUAGACCUAAUGGUCAGGGGUCCCUUUACCCUUUACCUUUAUAACAUUAUUGCUUUUGUUUGUCAUUAUGGUAUGCAUUUUUUUGUUUUUAUAUUGUAAACUGCCCUGUGAUCUUCGGAUGAAAGGUGAUAAAGAAAUUUAAAAAAUAAUAAUGAUGAACAGGGCGAUUCUCUAGUUCCGAUCUUAGACGAUACUUUUGAAUACAUGAGUGUACAGUUUUUUCCUGAGCUGUCCUUUUCUCCUUGAGAAUUACAUUAUUAGGCAUAGUUAUUUAAUAGAGUCGCAUCAAAAUGCCUUUGAGCUAGACAAGGUGACUGACCACAUAUAUUUGUGCCGCUAGGGGACAUCUAGAAGUGUGCUUAGGCCAGUUUGCUGGAUUGCAAACUUUAUAAAGAUAUUUUGAUGGAUGGAUGGAAGCUGAAACUAAGGCGAGAUUUCGGGGCUCUGAAGUUUACUUUUGUACCUUUGUUUUUCUGUCAAUCAACACGUACUUUACGGGACAGUAGAGAGUGGGUAGCAUCAUCCAGACAAGUGAAAACAUUUUAAAAUCCAGCUACUUUCAGUGGGAGAGUUAAAGCAGGGGUAGGCAACCUAAGGCCCGGGGGCCGGAUGCUGCCCAAUCACCUUCUCAAUCCGGCCCACAGACGGUCCAGGAAUCAGUGUGUUUUUACAUGAGUAGAAUGUAUCCUUUUAUUUAAAAUGCAUCUCUGGGUUAUUUGUGGGGCCUGCCUGGUGUUUUUACAUGAGCAGAAUGUGUGCUUUUAUUUAAAAUGCAUCUCUGGGUUAUUUGUGGGGCAUAGGAAUUCGUUCAUUCCCCCCCCCAAAAAAAAUAUAGUCCGACCCACCACAUAGUCUGAGGGACGGUGGACCGGCCCACAGCUGAAAAAGGUUGCUGACCCCUGAGUUAAAGUAUAUGCUCAGUCUUCCUGCUGAAAUCAAAGGAACUUAAAUGUGCUCAACUCAGCUCAUGUUCAGCCUUUUGGACUAAGGGCACAGCUUGAACAGAUGGUGGAAGACCUGUGAUGCAAGAGUAGAUCUAAGCAAAAAUACAUAGAAUCACAAAAUUGUAGAGUUGUGAGGGACCCUUAGGACCAUCUAGUCCAGCCUCCUGCAGUACAGGAAUAUGCAGCUAUCCCAUUCGGGGAUCGAACCUGCAACCUUGGCAACUAUCAGCAUUACACUCUAACCAACUACUGGCUGCAGUUGUCAACAGAACGCUAUGAGUGAUGCAUGAGGAGAAGAGAGGAUGAUGGUGGAAGCCCUGCAUGGUGCAGUUGUUAAAGUGUUGGAUUAGGACCUGGGAGACACGAAUUCAAAUCCCCACACAGCCUAUGAAGCUCAGUGAGUGAGCUUUGUCCAAGUGUUAGCUCUCACCCCACACUGUUAUUGAGAUGAGAAGGUGAAGCUGUAGGUGGUUCCUUGAGCUCAUUUGAGGAGAGGCAGGAUAUAAUAAGGAUACAGUUUGUCUGUGUACCCCCCCUUUUUUAAAGGACCAGUUUUAAAUAUUUUUUUCUUUUUCUUUUAAAAUAAUAGGGCGAUAUCUGAUCUAUUAUACUCAGAGGACACUUAUGGAACUUGAUGGACCUGAAUUGCAUAAAUCCUUUUAUUUCAAUAGGUGAGUAUGAGUAACAUUGGAUCACACCCAUGGUUAAUUCUAUUUUAUAUAUAUAUAUAUAUAUAUAUAUAUAUAUAUAUAUAUAUAAUAUGGAUGUCAGUGACCAUUUCAAAACACUCCAAAUUUCUAAAGCACUCCCCCUCAAAAAGUGUUCACUUUUUCCAAAAUGAAGUGGAAAGUUUUCUAAACUAUGUUAGGAGCAAAUAAGCUAAAUUUGGUAGUUUCAGCCAUUUCUGGGGGCAGGGGUUGGGCUUGGGGAACUAGGCUGUUAAUAGAAGGUAUGCCCACCCUAUAUGGAAUCUGUGGCUGAAUUCCUUGUCACAACAUACAGUAAACUGUGAAAGAGAGAGAUAUAUUCAUUCUGUCUCUUGAAUUCCUGACAAACAAAGCCAUCUGGUUGCCUUAAUCAAGGCAGCAUAUUAUGGGCAGGUCCUCUGACUAAGUAUUAAACAUACUGUACAGUGGCAUUAUUUAUGACUUGGACCACUACUAUAUCACUCUAUUAUCCAUACUUAUAGAAAAAGACCCACUGUAAGUAUAAUUAGUUAAUAAAUCACCAUGAGUGAUAAACAGAAUGAUGGAUGCAGGUUUCAGCUGAUCACUUUUUUAUUAAGGAGAGAUAAAUCAGCAUCAUAUUGUUGCCGUAAACCUCUCAAAUUGGUCAAAAAUCCGGCGUGCCAAAAUGCAGCAAGGGAGGGUGAUUAACGUGUCAAUUGUGCAGCAACAAAUUGUUCCCGAUAAUUGAUAUCAAUCAAUCCUUUUAAUUUCGCCACAGUCUAAUGGGUGUCAUACGUCAUGCCUCUCUUCCUUCGCCUGCAAGCCGGCGCCUUUUGUUUCGGUCUUCCUUGGAACCGUCAGAAAGUGCUCUUUCCGCACAGCCCAAAUUAGUCCUAUGUUUGAUUAGCACAAGGCGAGCCAGGAAGCUGGUUCUUGCUACAUGUAAUGCUGGGGUAAAAUGGUGAUUGGUUGUCUAGGGAAGUCCUCUCCAUUUUGUGGUGUUUCUGCUGCAGCUUCUGGGUUCUGCAUGACUUUUUGUGUGUUCACUGUGAGUUCAAAGGUCUGCUCCCUGAUAUAUUUGCAAUGAGUUCGCCUUGUGUUUUCCCACAAUGUAUAGUUAUGGUUACAUUUUUAUGUAACAGGAGACUUGCCCUUACAGGACAGUGGGACUGUUUCCCUCGGGAGGUGAUGGACUCUCCUUCCUUGGAGCAGAGGUUGGAUGGCCAUCUGUCAUGGAUGCUUGAAUUGAGAUUCCUGCAUCACAGGACAUUGGACCAGAUUGACCCUCAGGGUCCCUUCCAACUCUACAAUUCUAUGACCCGUCCCUGUUAGAAUUCCUGCUCCAUGAUUGCAGUCAUGGGAUUUUUGUCUUUCACAUGAAGGUAUAUGUUUUGACCCCACAGAGUGGGAAGUGGCGGAGACAGGAUGUUUGUGUUACUGUGUUCCAUGAAGUGGGACUAUUGUCUUUUGUUCUUUUUCUCUUUGCUGCCUGAUGCUGGAGAGAGAAGGAGCCAUGUUGCAGUGCUCCAUGUAUGUUUAUAUGUAAAUAAAGUAGAUUAGCCAAAAUGCUGAGCCGCUGAGGUCUGUCACGCGCAUGAUGCGUAAACUCUGCAGAUCCCCAAGUGUGCUGGUGUCGGUUGGCACCGGUUGCUGUGAUGUUUGGGCAGAAGAAAGCUUUUGAAGCUCCCGAACGAUCGACCAAGAGGGAGGGAACAUGCCAGUCGGGCAUGUGUCUCUGCCAGGGUCCUACUCGAGUGUAGGCUCAACUCCUGACAGUCCCACCCACCUUCAGUCAAGAAAAAGAGCCAAAUAAUUCUCAAGCAUAGGCAUGGAAAUCAAGUGACACACUCCCAUUCCAAGGAUAGGGAAUACCCCCAUUGCCUCAGCAUAAUGCAAUUAGUGCAGGAACUUGAUUGAGCUUCCAGCAGUAUCGGUUGGGGGCCAAUGGAACUGGUACAGCUGCAGGCAGAGGACCCAAAGUUGGCACCAGAGCCAAUGACAAGCACAGAGUUUGGUGAGGGUGGUGCACCAUUCACUCUAAUGGACCAGCCUCCAUUGGCUUCUAUUAUGAAAGCAGAAAUGUGAACCAAAGUAACAAGGCAGAAGAAGGAGGAACAAGGCAAACUGUUGCACAGAUACAGUAUUUGAAUGGAGCUUGAACACAGCUUUCGUUUAUUCAUAUAAAGUGGAGGAUAAGCUACAGCCUCCAUUUCAUCGAAACCCAGCACCCUUCCAACAAUCGCCCACUGCCGUGGCACCUCCAUGCCGUCCUCCGUCACAAGCAUCACCAUUCUUCUCCAUGUACAUCUUAUCUGUCAGGUAUAAUAUCCUGCUGACAUAGCGUCCUUUGCUAUUAUACUCACCAUAAUAUAGGGACGAUGAAUAUCGCCCCAUAAGUGCCUCUUAAGUUAAUGUAAAACUACAUCUCGCAACAUCGUGCAUUCAACAAGCUGUCAUUUCCCUCGUAAAUUCUGGAGAGCGUUUUUGCUUCCUGAAACGAUUGGCUCGCAGAUCCGCCUGAGAAAUAAUCACAACCCAUGGCCUACCCUGAAAGCUGCAGCUGUAAAUCAAUCUCAAGGGUUUGUGACCGCUUGCAUUCGCCCCCUCCUCCCCGCAUCUGUCACUCUAGUUUACAGGGAUACACAGCACUAUUUAAAGACCAGGCAUCUGUGUAACAACCAAGCAGGUGCCAGCAUGUAUAUGCACUAAUUUCAUCGCCGUCAGAAACCAUGGUGGCAAAAAUCAAGCUAAGAGCUGGGUUUGGGAAUGUAAGAAGAACUCUGCUGUUUCAGACCAAGAGGUAGUGGCCAGCCAGAGGCUUCUUGGAAGUUUAUUAGUGCUGUGCUGAAAAUUUCUCCUGCAUUAAAAAAACAAAACAAUUCUCCAUCAGCUAAUGAGAAAAGAAAUUGCAUUUGAAAAUUAGCAAUUGGAAGAUAAAAUUAUCAUGGGUGCGUGUGUGCGGAGGGUUUAUGUUGUCCUUACCUUCUUGGUUGAGAGAUGUCUAUGACUGCCCUGGCUUUCACCAUCUCACCAGUGGUUUGCACUCUGCAGUCCUUCCAGGUGCCCAGGGUUCAAUGAAAGCCCAGAGGAAUUCAUCCCAAGGUAACUCUUCCCAUGGGUCUUUUUUCAGAUCAGGAAGUGCAGGCAGCUGGGGAGCCUGCAGUGGGCCGGAGCAAUGCUUAGUGAAAAGAGAAAUGCACACCCCAGCCUUUGCCAUCUCACAUUAGGUGAGCUCAAAAGCUCCCAAAGUUCUAAGGAAAUUCUCAAGGUUCCCCUGAGAAUGAGGCAGAAAAAUGAAAGCACCUCCCCACCCGCCCGCUUUUUUGCUGGGGAAGAAUUUUUUUGAGACAUUGGAAGGGAGACUCUGAGCACUAAAGUUUACAAGCAGGGCACAAAGGCAGCAAACCACUUCUGCUUGUUCCCAACAGUUGCAUUUCUGUGUGUACUGCCUCUAAACAUGUACUGCCUUUAAACGUGGAGAAGUCAUGCCGAGAUAUAUCCAGGUUCAUGGUUUUUAGGGAGCAACAAUUGCUCAGUGGGCAGCAUCAUCCUUUGCCCACAGAAGCUUAUCAUCAUCAUCAUUACUUUUAAUUUGUAUAGCGUCUUUCUAUCUUACAAUACCCAAGGAGGUUUACAAGAUGAAGAAGCAAAGAAUGUACACCUUAUAACAAUCUAAUGCAAUACAAAAAUGUGAUAAUAAAACAUAACUUUAAAAUAAGCAAUCUACAUCAAAUAAAGUAACAUUCAACAAUCCUUAGAAUAGUAUAGAAUAAUAUUAAAUAUCAGCAUAUAAAAAUUAAACAGAAAUCCACUCUUAACAAUUACAGUGGGACCUCGGGUUAAGAACUUAAUUAGUUCCAGAGGUCCGUUUUUAACCUGAAACUGUUCUUAACCUGAGGUACCACUUUAGCUAAAGGGGCCUCCUGCUGCUGCUGCUGCCGCGCCGCAAGAGCACAAUUUCUGUUCUCAUUCUGAAGCAAAGUUCUUAACCUGAGGUACUAUUUCUGGGUUAGUGGAGUCUGUAACUUGAAACGUCUGUAACCUGAGGUACCACUGUACAAUAAAUAACUUCUAAACUACAAUAAAUAAAACAAUGGCAAGCCACAGUGCAUAAAAUAAUACAAUACAAAUUGAGAAGCAGAGACUGGAGGGUGUAGCAAGGCAGGUAGAAGAAGGCCUUGCCUGAUGAAGUCUCUCCCCUCACAGUUCUUCCUCCAGGCACAGCUCCCUUAUGAGGACUCCCAGGGAUGGAGGGUGGGGCAAGGCAGGCGGAAGAAGGUCUUGCCUGAUGAAGUCUCUCCCCUCACCAGGUAACAGAGGUUACAAGUUCAAUCCCUGUCCUCACCAGGUGAUAGGCUCAGGUGAUAGGAAAGACCUAGAAUAGCAGGCAAUAUUGAUCCAGAUGGUCUGGUCUGUUAUGAAAAAUCUUCCUUCACUUUUGCUCUGAUAAACUCCCAUUGCGGAAAUAUCCCAUGCUAUUGCUUCCAGUAGAUUCUUGCUAAAUUUCUUGGAAGACAAGACUUUCAAUACCCAUCGUCCUCCUCCCCCUUCAAUGUCUAGCAUCCUUCAUUUAGCCUGAGGGGUUUCUGAUGGAAAGGUCUGCCUCCUACAUGCACAUGGAUGUCAUAUGAUUUCUCAUUAGAUUAAGGACUUAACCCACUGGGACAUAGAUUUUCCCAUGCUAAUUUAUAUGUAGAUAAGUUUCAAAUUUAGAAAUAAAUACCAUACUUUCAAUAGAAAUGCAAUGCAUCUCACCAUAGUGAGAAGGUGAUGAUCAGGUGACCUGCUCAUUCUGCUGUCCAGCUGCUAACUGUUGAUGGGCUAAUAAUAAUAAUAAUAAUCAUACCAUGCCCAUCUGGCUGGGUUUCUCCAGACAUUCUGGGUGGCUUCCAGCAGAAUAUAAAAACAUAAUAAAACAUCAAACGUUAAAAACUUCCCUAUACAGGACUGCCUUCAGAUGUCUUCUAAAAAUGUAGUUCUUUAUCUCCUUGAUAUCUGAUGUGAGGGCAUUCCACAGAAUCAUAGAAUCAUAGAAUUGGAAGGGAACCAAGGGUCAUCUAGUUCAACCCCCUGUAAUGCAGGAAUCUCACCUGGUCUCUUUUCUCAUGGUUCUUUAUCUUUCAACCAGACUUGGACUGGACAACUCUUCAAAUAGAGAAUGCUGUUUCUUAUUCUUUGAUUACUCUACACUUGAUGACUGGCAGCUGAAUGAACUAAGAGGAUCCAUUGAAAGCAUUGUGUUCAAGGUAACAUGAAUGCGAUGGCUCAUUCAUGUCUGUAGGUCAUCAUGAGAUGGGGCAGCCAAAGUAGCCCUGUUGAGAGUCCCCUUCACAUGAUUAUAAUGAUGUGAAGAUGAGCACGAUCCUGCUUCCCGGUCCUGCCUCCUCUGUCACCUCUUCACUACUCAGUCUACAUGCCUCUCAUAGGUUGCAAAGGAAACAUAUGCACAGUUUAGAACACUGAUCUUCCAGGGUUCUAAAUCACAUGGGAAGUCUUCAUGCUUAAAGCAUUUUUCAAAACAACUUAAGGAUAAGUACUACAGUGCUUUUAGUCUAACAAACAAUCCAGUUUUAAUGAAUUGAGAAUAACAGAAAAUCAAACUCAUUUUCCGUUAAUAAACUAAACAAACUUUAAAACAGCAUCCUUUUAAAUAAUAUUGCAUUUUUUAAAAAAGGAUUCUAAUUCUUAUUAUGUAAGCCUUGCAAAUAGGGCUUAGCACUUAAAGGUGGGUUGAUAAUAGCAUAAUGUAAGAAACAAAUGAAUAAAUGGAGAUGGGAAAUGUAUAUGAGAACAUAAGAAGCUGGAUCAGACCAAUGGGCCAAUGCUGUUCCCACAGUGGCCAACCAGCUGAGUGUGCGAUCACUCUCCCCAGUUGUGAUUCCCACUAGUCGUCAUGCAUACUGCCUCCAACAGGGCAGGUAGAACAUAGCCACUGCAGCUAGUAGCCACUGAUAGCCUUUAUCAUUGGUGAAACUUGCUCAUUCCUCUUUUAAAGCCAUCCAAGUUGGUGGGCAUCCCUGUCCCUUGUGGUAGCAAAUGCCAUAGAUGAAUUUUGCACUUUGUGAAGAUGCCCUGAAUCAGGGGUCGGCAAGGUUUACCUCGCCUUGGCUGGUUCACUCCAGCGGAGAUCCCUCCAUGGGCUGGAUUGUGCAUGCGCCCGCAACUUCUGGCACCUGCGCAGAUGCAAUUUCCGGCACCGCGGAAGCGAGUCCCCGUACCAUGCUAUGCCAGUUUAGCGUAGCGCACAGGGACUCACCGAGCGGGCAGCUCGGUUUGGGGGCAGCCUUGUGGGCCGGUUAAACAAUCCAUGUGGGCUGCUUGUGGCCCAUGGGCCUUAGGUUGCUGACCCCUGCCCUGAAUCUUCCAACAUUUAGCUUUCUUGGAUGGCCCUAGGUUCUCUAGUAUCAUGAUGAGAGAAGGGGUGGUGGUGGUGGAAUACAUUCAGCAAAUAUAGGCAUCCUAACCCCCAUCUGAAGACAGGAGUGCCUGGCGUGCUCUGGUCCAUGGGGUCACGAAGAGUCGGACACGACUAAACGACUAAACAACAACAACAACCCCCAUCUGGCAAGUGAUACCUGCUGAAAUUGCACAUUGUAGAGGUGCUGAUGCUCUGUCCUCUUAUAUAUGUGAUCACCCUAUUUAUUUCUGCCAUGAUAUAAACAGCUGCUGAAGUCAAACCUGUCUGUGAGCCCUUUGGAAGGAAGAAAGGAUUUCCCCUUUCCCUAUCAUCCCUGAAGCCAUUUCUCCGCAGAGAUGCCUUUGGGAGCCUUCAAUAACACCAGCUCCCUUCUGCUUCCAAGUACCCCUGAACGAAUGACCCUGCUAGUGGUGCAGUUUUUCCUCUCCCCCCUCUCUCCCUCCUUUGCCCUCCCCUCUCCCCUAACUUUGAUUUGAUCAGCCAAAUCUGAAAUGAUGUGUGAAAGUAAUGAUAUUUUGUAAUUAAAUCUCUGGUGAUGGUGCCGCUAAUUUGUGGUACAUGCAUUGUUCAUAAGGAAAAAGGCAUCAAUUCAUUUUCUGACUGGCUACUCCUGGGACUCAUAAUUAGACCAAGCUCAUCUUUUGCUGCCUUGCAUAUUAAGGAGCUGCUGAGACGCAAAGAGAAUUUGGGAAGCUUCUUCUUCUUUUUUUCCCUGAAAAGGGGAGGGGGGGAGAAAAAACAAGGUCUAAUAAUGUUAGCUCAGUUAGAACCAUCAAGGGAUUUAAAACACACACAGGACACAGAGAUGGGCUACAAUCCACAGGAAACUUCUCUUGAGCAAACCUCACUGAGAUACACAGGAGUUGCAAAAGAUGCCCUUUUUUACAGCUUGCAGACAUUUCAAUUAAUUCCUCGUGAUGUGUACCUAUGUUGUGUCAAUGAUCCUCAUGUUCUGUGAGUUCCCUUUUUGCCUUGCAAAACCAAAUCUUUCAUUUUCCCUUCCUUGAUUCUUUUUUUUGUUCGAUUCCUCCUUAGUUCUGGGAUGCUCUGCCUGCUGAGAUCUGAUCUAUUCAGUCCUUCUCAGCAUUUUGCAACUUGUUUGUUUCAAUUAGUUUAUUCUUGAUUGUGUCUGCUCAUUUUCUCCUCUUCCAGUCACCACUUCCACUUCCCCCCUAUUCUCAUGUCUUACAAUAUUGCAGGCAUUUUUGCUUAAGAAGGUGUCUCUGGAAGUGUGAACCAGGCAUUUCAUGAAAUUACUGUACAAUUGCAGAAAUGAGGGGUUUAUGGCCUUUAGUUUACUGAGUUUGUAAUCUUUUGUUUUUUAUUACUGAUCAAUUUAUUGAAUCUAUAUACCGCCCUUUAUCCGAGGACCACAGGGUGGUUUAUAAUAUAAAAACACAACAAAACAUAGCUUAAUAACAAACAAAACAAUACAACCCCCACCCCCUAUUUAAAAGGCCAUAGGUUGUUUAAUUAGCCAAUGGCCUGGGAGCAAAGGAAUGUUUUUGCAUGGCACCUAAAGAUUUUAAAGUGGAUAAAGGCUAAAAACUUCCCUUUGAAUGUGAAAAGGUGGAUUGUGGGUAUGUUUACAAGCAUGCAAUAUUCUGCAAGGUGCUUUGACAAAUGCUUCUUUGUUUAGGUCAAAUGUGUUGCCCCCAAUAGAAACAUCCCAUUCAUUUUAGGCUGAUCCACACUAUAUGUUUUGAACCCGAAUAUGAAAAGGACCCAGCUUUAGAUAGCAAAAUGCACCUGCAGUGCUGCAAACUGUGAAAGGUGCAUGCGUGUUUAAGCAGCCUGCUGUAAUGCAUACACAACACAUAUCACUGAUGGCACCAUGCAAAGAUUUUGCCAUCUAAACUCAGAUUGACAUUUCAAGGGUGUGGUGAACUAGAUCAUUAUGCUUGUAACUGCAUUUUGAGGCAUUGCUGAGCGGAAGCCGUACUUUCGUUGCUGAACUCUUGCAUACAACUCUAAAAUAAUAUAACACACAUUUUAAAGCUGUGAAACACUGGGUGAACGAGUGCAGAUUUUUGUUUCUGGAAGGGAUUCAGGGUUUCAGCUGGCAAAAGGACUUGCUCAUGUAUGUUUUCACUUGCUGCCCUUUGCCCACCCUUCCCAAUGUAUGCUUGACAGGUGACCCCGGCUAACCCUGCCUGCCUCUUUGAUAUACCCUGAUUCUCACUACUGGGUGUUAUUUGCAGACGCAAUGUGUCAAGUGAAUAUCACAGACAACACAAAGCAGUACUGAGGAUGCAUCUAUCUUCUUGAGCAGAGGGAGUUGAUUCCAACAAUAAAUUCUGUAGGCAAGUACUCGUCUUAUUUACUAACCAAGGCUUCAUUAUUUAAGUCAAUCAAUAGGAACAGGGCUGCAAUCCUCCCCCACCCACCCUGUUAUGCUCUUGGAAGUUUGGAUGGACUUGAUGCAUUCCUCUGCCAGCUCUGCCAGCCUCAUGUUGGUUGUGCCCACUGGUGCCCAUUGGUGAUGCUCCUGUGAGCAGAGACCAGCAGAAAGCCCCAAACUGGGGUGUUCUGAGGGCAGCUUGGGGAUGAGCCACUGAAACCCAAGCUGUUCUUACAGCCAGCAGCAGCCGGCAUAGGUCCCUAUCCAGAUUCAAUUUCUGUGCCAGGCUUCAGCUGGCAAGAGAUUGGGCCCAAAUCUGCCUCCCCACCACCUUCCUCUGCUGUGAGUGGUAGACUACAGAUGUGGCGGCAGCAGCCUAUUUAGAUUGCUCUGUAGAGUAGCAGAUUUUUUUUUGUUAAAUGUUACAAUGACAAAUAUUAGUAUAAGAAACAACAAAUCAUAUGGACAGCUGGUGCCAUCUAAGAAGAUACAUCCCCUCUGCUUCUAAGGCAGAGAUGGUCCUCCAGUGGUGUAGUGGAGCCAGUGCGGUGUAGUGGUUAAGAGCGGUAGACUCGUAAUCUGGUGAACUGGAUUCGCGUCUCUGCUCCUCCACAUGCAGCUGCUGGGUGACCUUGGGCUAGUCACACACCUGCUUUCACAAGUACACUUUUAAAAAAGUCAAUUGCAGCUUGUUUUUGCAGAGUUUUGGCUACAGGUCUCUCUUCACACUUUCCUGGGACAGAGCUCCUGUGAACAGAGUGGAACUUCCCCCCAAAGAAACAUUGGUUUCUUUCAAUCUAUUAAUUAAUUCAGACUUGUAUUGACUCAAUACUACUUUGAUUGAAUGACAGCCUUGGAAUGGCCAGCUCUGCCAAUGCAGUGGCAAAUAAACUGCUCCUGAUCACUUUAGUGAAUCUUCACCCCAAGAAAUAAAAGCACUUUAGUGCUGAAAUAAGCUCCUGUUGCUUGAGAGGGUAGGUGCAAGCUAACCCUCAGAGAGGAUGGAAGAGAUGUAUCUUAUCUGACAUUGUCAUAUGCAUAUGUGCCCUGUGAGCCAAUGCAUACCGCAUCACAAGAAAGCUGCACGCUGCAAGGUGUUACCCACACAUGUUGAGGCAAUUAAAGAGCAGAACACUGAUGCACUUACAUUGCAGAGUAUUAGAUGCAGCUUUCCAGGAUUUGCUAUGGGUUGGAGUUUUGUGUUGCUUGGCGGUAAGGGAUGCACAAGGCUGUCAAAACUGUCAAUUUCAGCACAUCCUCUUGAAAUUUUGUCAGCGUUUUAGUGCAAAUUUAUCCUAAUAUGCACAUUUUUAAUUCGAUGCAUACAUUUGCUUUUGCAAACCAAUGCCCUUCUGUCCAUGUUAAUGCACACUUAGUAUACAUAUUUUUGUAUCCAGUAUACACAUUUUUGAUAUUUCCUUGGCUGCAGAACCGAAUUGCAAAAUUCAGAAAGGGCGAAUCUUGAAGGAUGGGUGCUUUGCAGUCCACAUAUAAUCUUGGAAAGGCCAAAAAAUUAGGUAGGUUUGCCUUUAAAUGCAAACUGAAUCAAAUUUAUUCACCAUCUAUAUUGGUGGUUGAGGACACUUUAUUUUUUAUAUGCAUUCCCAUAUAUAUCUAUAUCUAUACUAUGGUAUCUGGUUUGCCACUGUGAGAACAGGAUGCUGGACUAGAUGGGCCUUUGAUCUGACCCAGCAGGCCUCUUCCAAUGCUGUUAUGUCACAGACACAUGUAUAUGAGUUAAGGAAAUGUAUGGUGCCUCACACAACCAUUGCUUGCCGCUUGGUCUCAUUCUGUUGCUGAUUGUCCUGCAUGCUUUGCCCCCUUUAACAGCUAGGCACUCCUUGAAGACUUUUCCUAAUGGGCUCAGGAAUGGGAAUCAUUCCUAACGGAGGAAGGUAUCAACAUUUCAAAACAGUUUAAUUAUUCCGAAAAUGCUUAGCUAUUAGCAGAGACAAGAGAGCUUAGGGCUAUUUUUCAGCAUUAAUUUUCCAUUUGAAAUGAAUUCCUUUUGGUUACACUUUUUAAAUGUUUCUUUUAAUUAGACGCAAUUACUUCAGAAGAAUCGCUUUUAUUUCCAUGCCUGAAAUCUCAAUGAUAAAGUUGUUAACUGGCCAGGCUGAAUGCUGUGUAUGCCUCAUUUAGCUGGUACACUAAAGUAUAUUGAACUAGGAAAUUAUACAGUGAAUCAGCUAUUAAUUCAUUUUAUGAUCCUUUCACUCUAACAUCUUGAAUGAGCUCUUCAGGGGGAAAUUUAGUCACAAUACAUAUAAUUGUCCAACUAUAUAUGUGACACUCAUUUACGACCGUAAGGUUACCGGCACUCUGAGCCUAAUCGGAGUGCAACUGUGCAAGCAGAGUUGACUCCUGACUCUGGAAAAUAUUAACAGGAUCAUUAAUGUUCUUUUGACCAGAGAGAACUGGACCACAUAUCAUGUGUUUAGCAAAGGAAAUGAGAAGUCGGAGAAGUUACACACAAUAAUUUGAAGUGGGGCUUAAUUUGAGCCAAGGGUCCACUGGUGUGGUUUUCACUGUCAGUUCUCAGUCCUAGAAACAAAGAUGUAAUACAAAAGGAGAGAGUGCCUCUGAGUUCGUGCAGGGUUCAUUUCCUCAGCUCUGAGUCAGGGUCUUCAUGCAUUGCAGCUCCUUGCCUGCCUCCAUUGGCAAAUGCUAUUGAUGUGCAUUACAGUGGGGAAAUUCACUGAGUGGGUUAACGGAGGGAUCACAGCUCAGUGAGAAAGCCCAUGGUCCCAGAGUCUAUCCCCUGGCCUUUCCAGUUCAAAAGGUCAGGUGGCAGGUGAUGGGCAGAACAGCUGCCAGUCAUAAUCUUUUUCUAUUAUAUCUUUUGGAAAGUGGUUUGCUUGUCUGUCUGCUGUGCAUCUGGACACAUCUUAAGGCACCACAACCAAAUUUUGUUUGAUGGUUCCUGAGAUCAAGGAGUAGGUUUUAGUUAUGAUUUGGAUACAAUUGGGGGCCAUUUUGAAUAAAGAUGGUGGGAUGACUCUUCCAUCCUCUCCCCCAUUCUUUUUAAUGUCUAUAUGAAGCCGCUGGGAGAGAUCAUCAGAGGGUAUGGGCUGGGUGUUCAUUAGUAUGCAGAUGACACCCAGCUCUACUUCUCUUUUAAAUCAGAACCAGUGAAGGUGGUGAAUGUCCUGUGUGAGUGCCUGGAGGCGGAUGGCUGGCUGGCUAACAGAUUGAGGUUGAAUCCUGACAAGACAGAAGUACUGUUUUUUGGGGAAAGGGGGUGGCCGGGUGUGGGGGACUCCCUGGUCCUGAAUGGGGUAAAUGGGCCCCUGAAGGACCAGGUGCGCAGCCUGGGAGUCAUUUUGGACUCACAGCUGUCCAUGGAGGUGCAGGUUAAUUCUGUGUCCAGGGCAGCUGUUUACCAGCUCCAUCUGGUACGCAGGCUGAGACCCUAUCUGCCCACAGACUGCCUCGCCAGAGUGGUGCAUGAUCUGGUUAUCUCCCGCUUGGACUAGUGCAAUACGCUCUGUGUGGGGCUACCUUUGAAAGUGACCCGGAAACUACAACUAAUCCAGAAUGCAGCAGCUAGACUGGUGACUGGGAGUGGCCGCCAGGACCAUAUAACACUGGUCCUGAGAGAUCUGCAUUGGCUCCCAGUAAGUUUCCGAGCACAAUUCAAAGUGUUGGUGCUGACCUUUAAAGCCCUAAAUGGCCUCAGUCCAGUAUACCUGAAGGAGUGUCUCCACCCCCAUCGUUCAGCCCGGACACUGAGAUCCAGUGUUGAGGGCCUUCUGGCUGUUCCCUCAUUGCAAGAAGUGAGGUUACAGGGAACCAGACAGAGGGCUUUGUCGGUAAUGGCACCCGCCCUGUGGAACGCCCUCCCAUCAGAUGUCAAGGAAAUAAGCAGCUAUCCUAUUUUUAAAAGACAUCUGGAGGCAGCCCUGUUUAGGGAAGUUUUUAAUAUUUAAUGCUGCAUUGUUUUUAACACUUGAUUGGGAGCUGCCCAGAGUGGCUGGGGAAACUCAGCCAGAUGGGCGGGGUAGAAAUAAUAAAUUAUUAUUAAUAAUAAUUAAUUACAAACUGAACAGUUUUUACCACUGGUUGCAUAUAACUCUUUAUGCAAGCUGCUAGCAGAUGAUAUUGGGCUAGGUGGACAAUCUGAUGUGGUAUAAGGCAGAUUCCUAUAUCCUGCAACACUCUCAGAGUAAUGGGGAGGAUCUUGAAGAGCUCUGUGAGACUAGUUCAGAAACUAGGAAGUAGGAAACCUCUGGUUCCAGAGUCACUUCAGAUAUGAAUUCAGUAUGCAUUUAUGUAAGCUGCUCGGCUCACCCUUAGAGUGGACGCAUAUCUUAGACUCAAGUAAAGGUGAGCAGCCUGCAGCCCUGCACUUCCUUCAGUAUGCUCUCCCUGAAGCGGGGAGAGAGAAAGAGAAAGAAUGAAAGAAAAUCACUGGAUGGAGGAUGAAUGGAAGGGAAAGAAGGGGAGCUUAUGUGCUUGCUUGUACAGUCAAACCUUGGCUCCAUUUUCUGCCCCAAACCCAGAAGUAACUGCUCUGGUUUUUUAAUAUUUUCAGAAGCCGAACAUGCUACACGGCUUCUGUUUUGAGUUUCCCUAUUGUAUUGAGGCUUCCAAUUUCAGUUUUUGGUUGUCGAAUGUUUGGGAAGUCAAACGGUCUUCCAGAACGGAUUACGUUCAACAACCGAGGUUUGACUAUAUGAAUAGGUGUAAGUGAGAGACAUAAUUAAUGGAUGGUGGAGGAGUGAGUGAGAGAGAGAGAGAGAUGGAGACAGAGACAGAGAGAAGUGUUCCAUCUGAUUUUUGCAUUGGCCCUUCCCACUUUGUUUUGGCUCUGCCCAACAACACAGGUACAUGGCCCCUGAUGACUUUCUUCCAGGUGAGCAUGGCUGUUUACUCUGCAGAUGUUGCUCAUCCCUGCCUUAGAAGAUUAUUCACCAUGCAUUGGCUUGCAGGUCAUCUUUAAGGACUCUGCUCCAAACUGGCGAGCAGAGUGAGCUAGCAGGGCCUCUUCUUCGCCAAUGGCCUUGAACAUCUGAAUGGCACCAGGUUCAGUUAGAGAAGCCUUUCUCAACCUGUAGGUCCCCAGAUGUUGUUGAACUACAACUCCCAUCAUCCCUAGCUAGCCAGGCCAGAGCUCAGGGAUGAUUGGAGUUGUAGUCCACCAACAUCUGGGGACCCACAGGUUGAGAAUCGCUGUGUUAGAGCAUCAGACUUUGAUCAGAGAGACCUGGGAUCAAAAACCACUGCAUAAAGCUCACAGAGUGAUUUUAAGCCAGUCACUCAUCAUCACUCAGCCCUACAUACCCCCAAGAUUUCUGUGAAGAUAAAGGAGCAGCAGUGGGCAUGCAUUCCACCCUUACUUCUUGAAGGAAGGGAAAGAUAAAAGUGUAUUAAAUAAUAUUACCAUUUGUGAAUUGCUUACCCAAACUUUCCAAAAAUCAGCUGGGGCAGAAAGCAACUUUGUGUGCGCUUCAAGUUGUUUUCGUGACCCUAAUUAAGAUUUUCAGUCUGCUUGUGUUUAUCUGCAUAUGGGGCAGGGGGGAAACUUUGCAUCUAUAUUUUCCCUGUUAAGUUUGUGAUGAAAGAUGAUAGAUGGCAACUCUCCAGGGUUUUAUUUAAUUUGUUUUUUUAAAAAAACCUGAUAUACUUUUUAAUAACAUGAAACCUAGUAAAAGUUCAGAAAAAGCCAAGUUUUUAAAAUGAGAAGACUAUAAACAGAAGGGUGAAGACAGCUGUAACAUUAUUUGUAGAGGUCUGGAAAUGAGCUCAUACUGAAUCCAAAUGCACAUUUCCUUUCUUGAAGUGACUUUCGAAAAAGCACCAGCAGCAGCCUUUCAGAAUGUUUAGUCUGAAUGGAGAAAACCUAACUGAAUGGCAUUGAUUGGACACUGCCUGUGACAUCACCAAUCCAUCAGCCCUGUUAAUCCUUGGGGCAGUUUUUUUUUAAAAUAAAGAGUAUUUGGGACUGUUGUUUAGAUAAGAUAGAGGUUAAAUAAAUGUACACGGGAUAAAUGUACACAAGUUGCUUAAAAAAAGAAGUGAAUAGACUGUUUUGAAUAUGCAGGGAAAUGGAAGAAUGAAUCAACAUUCGACAUGUUGGUGGUGUGCAAGAAUUUGGGUUCCAAGUCAGGCUCGCUCACACUGUGGCUGAAGCAUUGCUACAAUGCUAUGCGCAUGUUUAUCGUAAGACACCAGCAUUACACCAUCAGAAGAAGUCAAAGUAACCAUUGCAAAUGGUUUGAACGCAGGGUGUAUGUACAGGAUAGGUGGAUGCAAGGGAGAGAACACAGCUUUCUCUUAACACUCCACUAUGCUUUACUAUAGUCCAGGGAAUCUGCAAACUUUCUAUCCCUAAGGCUCACUUGAGAGGGGUGGAAAUUACAGUGGCUCACUGCAAGGCCAGACCUAGUCACCAAAUGGUGUCAGGUUCAAGGUGGAGUCUGUCAUAAUCUGCUGGCAAUUACUGACAUCAUUUCCCACCGCAAUUUAAUCUGUCUUUGAAAAUUGUGAGACACCAGUAUAUUAAAAUGUCUUCCUGGAAAGAUACCAGGAUAAUAAAUAGACAUUCAUCAGGCUGCUGUGCUGGAUCACUUUCCAAUACAUAGCCACCUUUUAUGGCGGAUUCUACACUGCAUGCUUACUGCAGAAUAGCCAUGCUUUGCCCCAUCACCUUUUAUGGGAUAUCUGCAUGACAUUGUAAGCAAAUCAUGAUCCUCCACUGAUAUUUUCCCUCUUCAGCCUCUUCUCCCAACCCACCUUGCCAUAAGCAGAAAAUCUGGUGUUUUUUUUUAAUGCAAUGGAAUAGCUUCACAAUUACCCCAGGUGUAGAUGACCCAUCACACAGCAAUUCAAUAGCUUUUCCGUCCAGUUAUGGCCUGUACAUAUUGCUUUAGUCAUUCCCUUCUUUAUGGUCCAUUUCUCCUUUAUAGGAAUCAAUUCUAUCACUUUAACCCUUUCCUUCCUGAACAGCAUUGUGUUUAUAACGCAGCAUGGAAGCAAUCAUGAUCAGGAGUGCGGCAAGGGAGUUGGGGGAUAUUUAUUUAUUUAUCUAUUUUUAAAAUAAUAUUUAUUGAAGUUUUCCAAUCAAACCAAGUUAUAUAUUCCAAAUUAUACAAAUUAUCCAAUAAUCAAACAAAUCCCAAUGUUAUGCCUAAUUAUAAAUUAUUAUUAUUUUUUAGCUGACUUCCCAUGCUUCGAGAUCGGAG
RNAcentral lists this long non-coding RNA (23038 nucleotides) under Podarcis lilfordi (Lilford's wall lizard). The record is from RNAcentral. Lineage: Eukaryota; Metazoa; Chordata; Lepidosauria; Squamata; Lacertidae.